RNAcentral lists this long non-coding RNA (216 nucleotides) under Elaeis guineensis (African oil palm). Its description in RNAcentral is "long non-coding RNA (EGUI_LNC016099)". Lineage: Eukaryota; Viridiplantae; Streptophyta; Magnoliopsida; Arecales; Arecaceae. The record is from RNAcentral.
CUCACCCCUUCCUUUCCCCAAGCCAACGUCACGGCUUCCUAUUUGGCCUCAGCUUAGCUUAGCUGACGGCAUUUGGCCUUAGCUUAGGCAAAACAAAGCAAGCGAGACUGCGAAGAAGACCUACUAUUUUUUUUUUUCCCUCCUUUUGAUGAGUGAAGACCUGCCACCGCUAGGUUUUCCAGCCCGCUUAAAUGUUCCUCCCAUAACUCGCCGACG